UUGAGUCUUGUAGAGGGGGGUAGAAUUCCAGGUGUAGCGGUGAAAUGCGUAGAGAUCUGGAGGAAUACCGGUGGCGAAGGCGGCCCCCUGGACAAAGACUGACGCUCAGGUGCGAAAGCGUGGGGAGCAAACAGGAUUAGAUACCCUGGUAGUCCACGCCGUAAACGAUGUCUACUUGGAGGUUGUGCCCUUGAGGCGUGGCUUCCGGAGCUAACGCGUUAAGUAGACCGCCUGGGGAGUACGGCCGCAAGGUUAAAACUCAAAUGAAUUGACGGGGGCCCGCACAAGCGGUGGAGCAUGUGGUUUAAUUCGAUGCAACGCGAAGAACCUUAC
Molecule: ribosomal RNA, 333 nt
Filed under: Salmonella enterica subsp. enterica serovar Typhimurium
Lineage: Bacteria; Pseudomonadati; Pseudomonadota; Gammaproteobacteria; Enterobacterales; Enterobacteriaceae
Also listed under: 1 other name
Description: bacterial SSU rRNA
Rfam family: Bacterial small subunit ribosomal RNA
Source: RNAcentral